ACCUGCAAAACCAUCAAAAUAUACACACAAACGAUAAUAAGAAAUCCAAUUUUGUUAGUGUUUAGUUUGCUUUUACUUAAUCUCCGAUUAUAAACCAGAAAGGAAAAAACAGAGACCCAUUUAUUUAAUAUGUAAACGUAAUAUUGUUCUGAAAAUUAAUAAGAUAAUUAAAAUCCUUCUCUCUUGGAAACUUCUUUAUCUUUAUCUGAGUAUCCAAAUCCUAGCUUAACUUGGUGAGUUUACACGGGUUCCUUCCAGGGGACAAAACCUAAACCUUCUUAAGCUUGGAUUUGGAACCAGUUAUAUAAUUUUAUAUAUAUAACAAACAAUUCUCGGUUAAUUUGCAUAUCUCUGCCUCACUUCUUGUUUCUUCACAGUAGUUCUCUUUAGGUUUCCGUUUAUUUGUAUACUCCAAAAAUGAAGCUUUACUCCUUUUCUUCUGAAGAAUCUUCUUUAGGUGAUGAAGAAAACUCUUUUUUUAAUGACGAUGAAAGAAACUCCUUUUCUCACGACGAUGAAGCAUGGGAAUUAUGCUUUUCUUUUGACGAUGAUUGGUUUAAUGAUAACUGAGAAUCUGAAUUUCGCAUUCAUGUAAAGGUUUCUGAUAUUGAUGAAGAAGAAUGCUUUUCUUUUGAAGAUGAUUGUUUUACUGAUAAUCGAGAAUUUGAAUUUCGCAUUCAUGUAAAGGUUACUGAUAUUGAUGAAGAAGAAUGCUUUUCUUUUGAAGAUGAUUGUUUUACUGAUAAUCGAGAAUUUGAAUUUCGCAUUUAUGAAGAGGGCAAUGAUACUGAUGAAGAAGAAUUGGAAUUAUCGUUUUGGAGGAAGGUUAUUGAGAUUGAAGAGCUACUCGAUACUGCUGAUGAUUGUUUUAACGAUGAGGAUGAAGAAUUGGAAUUCUCUUUUUAUCAAAAGGUUAUUGAGAUAGAAAAGUUGUUGGAUAGUGCUGAUGAUGAUCAAGAAAGCCUCAAGACUGGCGGUGAUGAUGGAGAUCAUAACUAUAAUUACGAGGAUGAGGAUGAUUCAGAUAAAGAGCUUCUACUUCUUGCUGAUUCUUACAUUAAUGCCACGCCUCAAGAAUGGUUUUUAGUUCUAGUUUCUAAGGAUUAGGAUUUUUCAUCUAUGUUUGCAAAGCGUUUUGUUUUUUCAUGUUUUCUUUUUGAACUUUUCUGCAAUCUGUUGCCUGUCUGCUUGUAAUCAUAUUAUUGGUUGAGGUUGAUUCAUUCAUCGACAAAGUAGUUCCAUCUUGUCUAAUAUUACAUUGUUUUUUUUUUUUUUUUGUUAAAUUACAGUCGACUAAAAUUUUGUAAAAUAUAUCUAAAAAAACUUUUUUAAGAAAAAAACUAAUUUUUCGAUUAAAAUUGGUUCUGACUUGGAUCGUCUAUCUUAUUUUCAUAAUCUGAAACCUUGUACAUAAUAUUUCAUUGGUUGCUCAUUAAAAAAUAAUAACAAAAAUCUCAUUUUGGUGGGGCAUUAUCCCUACCAGUAAAACUUGACUGAAAAAAAAAAGAAG
Molecule: non-coding RNA, 1510 nt
Organism: Jatropha curcas
Lineage: Eukaryota; Viridiplantae; Streptophyta; Magnoliopsida; Malpighiales; Euphorbiaceae
Source: RefSeq, a predicted model, not a curated record